UUUGAUGGUAUUCUAAUAUUUUUAUGUGGUUUGCUUUUAGUUUUAUUCUUUUAAUCUUUGUUUGAUCAUAAUUGUGGUAUUCUUAUUUCUUAGGAAAUUAAAAUUAUGAAUUUGAGUUGCAGUAUAUAUAUGGCAGCAUCAAGAUUGCAACUUGAUGCAACAAGAUUUUGAAUUUAACAUACUAGCUUUGGAUUCUCUUUCGACAUUUUGCUAGAAUUUAAUUGUGGAGGGAAUUAUUGCAUAUCUAGACAUCAAAUCGGACCCGACCAGACAUCAUAUCAGACAUUCUCUCUAAGACAAAGGACUUCCAAAGU
Ipomoea nil (Japanese morning glory) is the source of this 314-nucleotide long non-coding RNA. RefSeq lists it as uncharacterized. The transcript has 3 exons. Lineage: Eukaryota; Viridiplantae; Streptophyta; Magnoliopsida; Solanales; Convolvulaceae. The record is from RefSeq and is a predicted model, not a curated record.